Long non-coding RNA from Alligator mississippiensis (American alligator), 230 nucleotides. RefSeq lists it as uncharacterized. Lineage: Eukaryota; Metazoa; Chordata; Crocodylia; Alligatoridae. The record is from RefSeq and is a predicted model, not a curated record. The transcript is spliced from 3 exons.
GCUGCCACGUGAAUGCCACUUUCUCCUGCAGGUCCCUAUUUCCCAUGGGCGGUGGCUCUGGCCGUGAUUCUGUCCCUUGUCGUUCUCCUGGGCAGUUUCUGCCUCUGGCGGCAGCACCGUGUGACAGAGAGGCGCCGUGCAGACAAAGCAAAGUAUGAAGCAAUGAAAGGUAAGUGCCUUUUACUGCCCCCCUGACCCCCUGACUUCACUGGCAAAACCCUGGUACCCAG